This 1051-nucleotide long non-coding RNA is filed under the name Olea europaea subsp. europaea. Lineage: Eukaryota; Viridiplantae; Streptophyta; Magnoliopsida; Lamiales; Oleaceae. The record is from RNAcentral.
GUCUAGUAAUUUGUACCGUGCUGUAAGAAGGAAAUAUGAAGCAGUCAAGGGAUAUAGAAGAAGAGGUGCUUCCUUCAUAUAGGAUCAAGAAUGCCAAAAUGUAAAUGUCUUUAUUUAACCGCAUAAAGAGACUAAAAUCUUUAGGUCCCUGUAAUAAUUUUUUCGGAACUAGCCGAGGGGACUACUUGGCCCUUGUGAACAGUGGUGGCCAGCUAGGGCGGUCGCCCUAGCUCGAUUCGCCGGAAUCGCCGAGUGCCGGCUGGCUGUGAUUGUGAAUCUGUGAUGACAGUCACAGAUUUGGCCUGGUGUUUGGUUGUGAUACUGUUGGGUAGUUCACAAUUGGGCCUUUUAUUUUUAUUUUUUUAAGUGAAUCACUCAUAGACCAUGGACCAGAUUACUUAUCGUCACUAGAGGUCCCGACUCCAGAGUCAGUUUCCUAUUUUCCCCCAAUUCUUAAUUUUCUUCCCAUCAAAAUCGGCAGGCAGAGGCAAACCCUUCUUGAGUUCUUCACUUCUUUUCCCAAUUCCUUCUCGUCAAACCAGUCACCUGAGUUCAUUGAUUGAGCUAUUAGCUGUAGCGGCUUGAACGGUGAACCCACUGGCACGAUUCGCCAUUUUUUUUUCUAAGUCUCUCAUUCUCUAAGUCUCUGACUCUCUGUAUGUGAUUUUUUUGUGCAAUUUUUCAUGUAUUUAUAAAUUAUACAGAUAACCCAUCUAUAUUAUGGUCCAAUUUUUGGGUCGUUGAUGAAUUUAGCUUCGGUUUUUAUUAAAAUAUUGUUUAUUGUGCUUUGCCACUUUGGUGUAAUUUAGAUUUCAGUGUGUAAUAUUGUUUAUUGUGCUUUGCCAAUUGCCACUUUCGUGUAAUUUAGUGCCUGAUUAUGUAAUUGAAUCAUUGAACCCGCUUGUUUUGAUAAAGCCCAUUUUAUGAUUUUGAUAAUUAGAUAGAUGAUAUUUGUUGUUUUUAUAAUUUUAAUCAUAUGUAUUAUUUGAUUGCAAUGCAAACUUGCUGCAGUUAGUAAAAAAGUUAAUAAAUGGUGGAAAGUAACGGGAAG